Arabidopsis thaliana (thale cress) is the source of this 611-nucleotide long non-coding RNA. RefSeq annotates it as other RNA. The record is from RefSeq. The transcript has a single exon. Lineage: Eukaryota; Viridiplantae; Streptophyta; Magnoliopsida; Brassicales; Brassicaceae.
GGGAAAGAGUUGGCGGUGCAAGUGGAAGUGGGGUAGCUGCGAUUUUUUUGCAAGUUGGGCAAAACAUAUUAAUUGUGAUUUACAAAUUGAUGAAUUUUCUUAUUUCUCAAAACAUAAAAAUGAAAGUAUAUGUGCCUUUGCGAUCCAUCACGCCACUGUUUCCUAUAAUUUGAUUGGACCUCUGCCCAAAUUUCCGAUCGUUGGAGAAAAGGAAAAUAAAAAUAAAAAUCGAAUAUAAGUGUAUAUGAAUAUAAUUCACAAGUUGCCACAUAUUAGUAUAUCGCUUCUUGUUAUAUAAAGAGGCUUCAUGUGAUGCUUCUAGACCGAACCACCUACAUCGGCGUAUGGCCAUAAUUGUAGUUGGGGUCGGGUUAAGGUAAUUUAUCAUUUGUACUAAUUCAUAAUUCUUUUUAUUUUCUGUUAUAAAUAUCAUCUGGAAGGUCCAAGGCCAUAAGUAUUGACGAAUUGUUUAAGAAUCUUUCCAAUAGCCUUUUUAAUACAUGGCUUUUUUGUAUCAUGGAGUUGAGUCAUCCGUGUUAUAGGACUUUUAAAAUACCGAUUGCAGCAUGUUUUCGAUGUGAAAAAUCUGCAUUGGUGUAUUUGUUGAUUUG